UACAGAGGUCUCAAGCGUUGUUCGGAUUCAUUGGGCGUAAAGGGUGCGUAGGCGGCGCGGUAAGUCGGGUGUGAAAUCUCGGAGCUUAACUCCGAAACUGCAUUCGAUACUGCCGUGCUUGAGGACUGGAGAGGACACUGGAAUUUACGGUGUAGCGGUGAAAUGCGUAGAUAUCGUAAGGAAGACCAGUGGCGAAGGCGGGUCUCUGGACAGUUCCUGACGCUGAGGCACGAAGGCCAGGGGAGCAAACGGG
RNAcentral lists this ribosomal RNA (253 nucleotides) under uncultured bacterium. RNAcentral describes it as "partial 16S ribosomal RNA". It matches the Rfam family "Bacterial small subunit ribosomal RNA", at positions 524 to 776 of the family's 1533-position model. The record is from RNAcentral.